UUUGCCUUCCUUCGCUGGCCGGCCGUUGCCAAUGCACCAUGCGGACUUCAUGGCGGACAUCAUGACGCAGGCUGCGCCGCAGCGGAUCUUAAAUACGCGAAUUCUUACAGACCUUGACAAUUAUCAGCAAUUAAUCCCUGGCGCUAAAACGUUCAAAAUACGAAAACAAUUUUGGUUUCGGCGCUCCUUAGUGCCGCUAGUGGAAACACCGUCACACUAAGUCCACACUAGCACAUAGUGUACCGGAGAUAGUGUUCGGACAAGUGGAAACACCCUGUUAGUGUACGGGGUGUUUCCACUAGGCAUUACGGUUCUCCGCCAGGAGUGCCCCAACCGCCAAUUUGUUUGAUGAAUAUUUUCUACUAUCAUUAGUAGUAUCAAUAUAUGCAUUUAGAACGGCGAGAGACGAGUCCAGGACGAAGAACAUUCAAACUUAGUGUUAGUGUUCGGCCAAGUGGAAACACCCUGUAAGUCCCUUACCAAAAUACCCUACCUUACCUUUUAUUCAUUUAUGAAAUAUAUCCACAAUUUUACUUGGACAAGCUGUUCAAGGCGUUGUUGUGUACAUUCUAUAUAUCGGAUUCAGGCACAGCAAUUAUGCUAGGGCGCAGCAUUGUAUUCUUAAUCGUUCCAGGAUUGAUCCCGACAAAGAGUGGGAUAUGGAUCCCCUGAGGGUGGAUGCACCCCCAUGCCGAAGGACGGUGAUGGACCCCGUUACAGGGACCUGCGAGCCUGUGCGAGCCGACCAGGAGCGGGCGCUGCUGAAGCAUUGAUGACGGCUGCUGCCCUUCUGCGAACCGCAUUUCAUUCUUGGGUGCGGGUGCAGCGUUCUGAAUCACAUCUGUACACAUCUGUGAUUCUGCUGGGGUGUUGGGCGUCGUUUGUCCUACACCUGAAUCGGCUAGCUGCGCGUGUCGUAGCUUGGGAAGACUUCCUGUAUCCUCUGGGGGAAGCUGUGGAGGAAUACGUAGGAUACAUUUACGUGUGAUGCCGAUUGCCCAUUAUGUAUUAAAUGCCGCUAGUGGUCGUUCCGUGCAUGAGGGGGUCCCCUUGCUUGCCUGUCGUGCUUGCUUAUCGGCACGUUGAGAGGCCUGGCCAUCGCUUGACACGCUUGGCUCCUCAGAACAAAAGAUAAGUAGUCGCUGACAGCAUAGAGCUCACAGUCACUACCAUAUGGUUAGCUACCUGGACUAAGCCGCUGCGUAUGUCAAAGCAAUGCCUUCUGAUGGACGGUUUGCCUGUAAAAGGCUUGCUUGUCGUGCUCGCUCGUAGCAAAAGCUAUUUGCUGGGUCUUCGCGACGUGUAAGAAGGGUUGUCCCGCGCGUUGAUUGGGCAGGGGUUGCAACAGGACAAGCAGCGCGUGGGUUUCUUGCUGCCAGGUCCUCGGGCAUGUGUGCUUAAUAAAGCGAAACUCUUUAAGGCCUCCUUACGUGGCUUUACGUCUUAUCUUAAUAAUUCAACGCCCUAACCUAGUAGUUCACAUCGCGAGGUGAAGACACCAAUCUAAACGGGAGCAGGUUGCUGGAGAUCUCCUGCUUUAGCCCAAGAUAUGCAAGCGAUGCAAAUAAGAAUCUCGACACAGAACCUUCGAGACGUUUGAGCUUCAGGGUCAAACCCCAGUGCCCAGUCCUUGUUCCACGCAUCACGGUGAUGAGGCUGCAUCGAAUUCAAAUUCGGCCUUACCAGCUAAACACUAGAUAGUAGAUAAAUUUGCACAAGCGCUUGCAAUU
This 1730-nucleotide long non-coding RNA is filed under the name Volvox carteri. Its description in RNAcentral is "long non-coding RNA (VCAR_LNC002908)". The record is from RNAcentral. Lineage: Eukaryota; Viridiplantae; Chlorophyta; Chlorophyceae; Chlamydomonadales; Volvocaceae.